RNAcentral lists this ribosomal RNA (460 nucleotides) under uncultured bacterium. RNAcentral describes it as "partial 16S ribosomal RNA". It matches the Rfam family "Bacterial small subunit ribosomal RNA", at positions 338 to 795 of the family's 1533-position model. The record is from RNAcentral.
CCUACGGGUGGCAGCAGUGAGGAAUAUUGGUCAAUGGUCGGGAGACUGAACCAGCCAAGCCGCGUGAGGGAUGAAGGUACAGAGUAUUGUAAACCUCUUUUGUCAGGGAACAAAGGCGGGGACGUGUCCCCGGAUGCGUGUACCUGAAGAAAAAGCAUCGGCUAACUCCGUGCCAGCAGCCGCGGUAAUACGGAGGAUGCGAGCGUUAUCCGGAUUUAUUGGGUUUAAAGGGUGCGUAGGUUGUUUUUUAAGUCAGCGGUGAAAGUUUGUGGCUCAACCAUAAAAUUGCCGUUGAAACUGGAAGACUUGAGUGUGUUUAAGGUAGGCGGAAUGCGUGGUGUAGCGGUGAAAUGCAUAGAUAUCAAGAAGAACUCCGAUUGCGAAGGCAGCUUACUAAGCCAUAACUGACACUGAAGCACGAAAGCGUGGGGAUCAAACAGGAUUAGAUACCCGAGUAGUC